GUGGGUAGAGCUCAGUGGUAGAGCACUUGCUUAGUAUGUUUGAAGUCCUGGGUUCAAUCCCCAGUACCUCCA
This 72-nucleotide transfer RNA is filed under the name Camelus bactrianus (Bactrian camel). It matches the Rfam family "tRNA". Rfam says of the family: Transfer RNA (tRNA) molecules are approximately 80 nucleotides in length. Their secondary structure includes four short double-helical elements and three loops (D, anti-codon, and T loops). Further hydrogen bonds mediate the characteristic L-shaped molecular structure. tRNAs have two regions of fundamental functional importance: the anti-codon, which is responsible for specific mRNA codon recognition, and the 3' end, to which the tRNAs corresponding amino acid is attached (by aminoacyl-tRNA synthetases). tRNAs cope with the degeneracy of the genetic code in two manners: having more than one tRNA (with a specific anti-codon) for a particular amino acid; and 'wobble' base-pairing, i.e. permitting non-standard base-pairing at the 3rd anti-codon position. Lineage: Eukaryota; Metazoa; Chordata; Mammalia; Artiodactyla; Camelidae. The record is from Rfam by way of RNAcentral. RNAcentral also lists the same sequence under 2 other names.